AUGCUAGUUUCCCUCAGUCUUUUGAAACAGGGAUCUCCACAAUUUGUUACACAGGCUAAUGUUUGCCCCAGAGCCAGGGACCUUUUUAAUUCAAUGCCUAGAUAUCAGAGUGACAAAAACUGGCAUCAAAAUUGGGUGUUCUCCCACUCUACUACAAUAGAAGUCAUUCUAAGAAUCAUGGCAGGCCAGAAUCUGAGAGGAGACAGCAGGUGCACAGGUGUGUGAGGGUCUGAGAGGGGAAAGGCACAAGUAGAAGGGAUUAAGAGAAAGGUGAUUAUGAAGAUGUGCCUGUGAAUAGCCAGGGAUAUGAUCACUGCCUCCCUGGUGAUCUCGUGAGUCACUGAAAUUAUAUUCCUAGGCUCUGAGAAACACACCAACUGGGCUACUUCCCUUUGCAUUAUCAGAGAAAUAGUGCCACAUGUAUCUUCCUUGUGUUUUGCAUAUAUUUUAUCGGACUUUAUUUUAUAGAGCUGUUUUAGGUUCGUAGCACAACUGAGCGGAAGAUACAGAAAUUUUCCAUAUUCUCCCUACCCCCACACAUGUACAGCCACUGACACUAUCAAUACCUCAUACGAGAGUGCUACAUGAAUUUGUUACAAUUGAUGAAAAAACACUGACACAUCAUUAUUACCCUAAGUCUGUGGUUUCUAUCAAGGUUCACUCUUGGUGUUGUGUCCUCUAUGGGUUUUGACAAAUGUAUAAUAAUAUGUAUCUACCAGUAUAGGAUCACACAGAGUAAUUUUCAUUGCCCUAAAAAUCCUCUAUUCUCCUCCUAUUCAUCUCGUCCCUGCAACUCCUGACAACCACUGAUCCUUUUGCUAUCUCCAUAGUUUUGCUGUUUCCAGGAUGUUCUAUAGGUGGAGUCAUACAGUAUAUAGUCUUUUCCGAUUUCCUUCUUUCAUUUAGUAAUAUGCGCUUAGAGUUCUUCCAUGACUUUUCAUUGCUUGAUGAUUUAUUUUUAGCAAUAAUGAAUAAACCCAUUAUAAACAACUGUUUGCAGGGUUUUGUUAGGAUGUAAGUUUUCAACUCCUUUGGGCAAGAAGCUUGUGGUUUAUUUUAUGGUGAAGUACAUUUGGUUUUCUAAGAAACUGUUAAACUGUCUUCCAACACAGUACUAUUUUGUCUUCCAACAAUGUACCGUUUUGUAUUCCAAUAGCAAUGAAUGGGGGUUUCUGUUCCACAUCUUCUUUGGCAUUUGUUCUUAUCAGUGUUCCAGAUUUUGGCCUUUCUGAUAGGUGUGUAGUGGUAUCUCAUUGUUGUUUUAAUUUGCAAUUUCCUAACCCCAUAAAAUGUUGAACAUCUUUCCAUAUGUUUAUUUGCCAUCUUCUUUGGUGAGGUGUCUGUUCAGGUCUUUGGGCCACUUUUUUUCCUGAUAUUAAAUUUAUUUAUUUUUUCUUCAACUUUUAAGUUCCAGGCUACAUGUGCAGGAUGUGCAGGUUUGUUACAUAGGUAAACAUGUGCCAUGGUGGUUUGCUGCACAGAUCAACCCAUCACCUAGGUGUUAAGACCCCAGCAUCCAUUAGCUAUUCUUCCUGAUACUUUCUCUCUCACCACUUGUAGAUUCUAGACAUUAGACCUUUUUCAGAAGGAUAAAUUGCAAAAAUUUUCUCCCACUCUUUAGGUUGCCUGUUGGCUCUGAUGAAAGUUUCUUUUGCUGUGCAGAAGCUCUUUGGUUUAAUUAGAUUAAUUUUAGCUUUUGUUGCAAUUGCUUUUGGUGACUUCGUCAUGAAAUCUUUGUCCGCACCUAUGUCCUAAAUAGUAUUGCCUAUAUUUUCUUCUAGGGUUUUUUAUAGUUUGGGGUUUUACAUUUAAGUCUUUAAUCCAUCUUGAGUUUAUUUUUGUAUAAGGUGUAAGGAACGGGUUCAGUUUCAAUUUUGUGCAUAUGGCUAGCCAGUUCUCCCAGUAUCAUCUAGUAAAUAGGGAAUGCUUUCACCAUUGUUUGUUUUUGUUAGGUUUGUGAAGAUCACAUGGUUAUAGAUAUGUGGUCUUAUUUCUGAGUUCUGCACCAUGGACUAUUUUUAAUAGGUUUUUGCAUUUUCUUCUUUUGAGUUGCAAAGAGUUGCCUGUAUAUUUUGGAUGCAAGUUCUUUAUUAGAUAGAUGUUUUGUGAAUAGUUUCUCCCCGACCUUUGUUUGUUUUCUCAUGCUCUUGACCAUGUUGUAUUUUUUAUGGUGUCUAAGAGCACACACAGUUAGGGAGAGAAAUAUAUGGAGGCAUUUCCAUUGGAUUAAAAGGUAUUAAGGUAAGAGCCCAAAAUGUGAAAAGAAGCAUUAAUUGUGGAAAUGUAGCCUAUCUGAUUAUGGGGAAAAUCCAGCAGUAGGGAUUAAGUGAUGAGAAAACAAAGUGUGUAUCUUCAGGAACAUACAACUUCACUUUAUAAUUACAAGCAUUUUUGUUCAUUGAAAUGCGUGUAAUGUUUUCUUCUUUCAGGUUAUAGUUACAAAUAAAUUUAUAUCUGAAGUCAUUUUAUUUAUUUUUAUAUAGAUAGUUAUUUACUGAUUUGUUGUGUUUAUUUUUGCUAAUGUAUGGAUUAACUGAUAAUUAAUUGGUAGAAAUCAGCAGUUAGGAGCAAAAAGAAUGCAUUAUUUUUUCAAUGUAAGCUCUGUGAGAAAAACAAAAAUGUUUCUGCAUCAAUUUAAUACGUUUGCUCAUCACUGUGGAACUUAUGUAGGUAUUUAUAUAUCAGUCUGGUCUUCGUAGAUACUCUUUUCCUCCUGUAGCCUGAACAUAUGCGAAACUAAGAGAAAUAUAAAUUUUUAUUUGUUUUUAGUUUUCUCCUAUACCUUGAAAUACUCUGACAAGACCGUAAGAGUUUCUAAAGCAAAAGUUUGUUUCUCUUUUAUUUAUGAAACUAUAUUGACACACAAUCUAUGAUUGAUAUUGAUUUCUUCUGAAGAUUGUAAGCAGGAAACCAGAGAGGUACCAUUGACUAACAAAUGUUAUUAUGAGUUUAAUUUUAUUUGAAAAGCAAAUGUUAAAAAAUUGUUUUGUUUCCUUAAAGUUCAUUGUGAAAAUAUUGGAGAAAGAUGUUAAACCUAGCUAGAGUUGCUGGGAGAAGAGAAAAGGUAUUUUAAUAAGAGUGACAAUAAGACAAUAACUAUUUUCAUUAUGAAAAAGAUUAACAAUAGGAAAAUGAAUACAAAUAAAUAAUUCAUGAAAAGGGAAGUAAAAAUGAAACACUUGAAAUAUUGCACGGAAAAUUAUAAAUUAACAAAAAGUCAAAUUUGUAUCUAUAUUAGGAAGGACAAAAGAAUUACAAUGUCCUACACUGAUAGAGUUUAUAUGUUUCUUUCUUUCUCUCUAUAUUACUGUAUUUUCCCUUGUUUGUGAAAUUAGCAUCUAUAUUAUUUAUAGCUGCAAAUAGAAUAACAAAUUUUAGGAAUUUUAAAAAGACACAUGUUAAAGCACUUCCAUUUUUCCUAUGAUUAUACUCAAUUAUGUAGCUCACAUUACUGAAUUGUACAUAAUAGGAGCAUGAACUCUGUUAUCUCAAUGUAUCACUUUUCAAAAGAGGUUACAAAAAUGUUUUAAUAAUUCAAAAUAUCCAGAGAUAUUUUAACAGUAUCUCAGACUAAAAAACAUAUUUCAGCACUAUGUCUUAAGAACACUUUUGUUUUAAUAGCAUUUUUCUAUUUUAGUCAUAAGUGGUCAAGAUUAGAUCUACCAUUCUACAAGAAAGUAUAUGUCCUGCAUCCUAUUCAUGAAUAAAAAGAGCAUAACCCAAUUUGAAUCUGGCUCCUCCUCCUCAUUAGAGUGUAAUCUUCAUAGGUAAUAAAGUCUUCUUGAUUGCAUUUCCUUACAUUAAAAUGAGAAUAGUAUGUAAUAUCUCAUGGGUGUCUUAUAAAGACUAUUAGAAUAAUUAAUUUAGAAUGAGGUAACCACGUGAAAAUGUCCUAUGUAGGAUUUGUCUCAGAAAUGAUAUCCAAAGAAUAGAAG
Macaca mulatta (Rhesus monkey) is the source of this 3935-nucleotide long non-coding RNA. The record is from Ensembl. NCBI's taxonomy places the organism in Eukaryota, Metazoa, Chordata, Mammalia, Primates, Cercopithecidae.